CGUUAGAAUUUUGAAUUUGACGUCGGUUAACCCCUUAGUCAGUCCAAAUCCCACUGCUAAUUUGCAAUAUAAUUGCUUAGACCAAUAAAGAAAUAUUUGAUAUUCCAAAAUCAUUUUUUUUUUUUUUUUGUUGGGAAAGUAAGAUAAUUUUAUAGAUAGAAGCAGUAUUUACAUGAAAGAGAGGCAAGCCCACAAAGAAUGGACAGCCCACUCACAAAACAUUGACCAAAACAAUAUGUAACAAACUCAAGAGUUGGCCAGCAUAGCAACAAGACAAUACUAGUCUAGGGGACUAGACUAUUCUUGUCUAAACUAUACUCACGUCCGGUGUAACACAACAGGGAACAGAACCCUAAUUGGCACGAUCCAGCGGCUCUGGAGGUGGUUCGAUGAACACCGGCAGUCCCAAUCAAGCUUCAGCCUUCUUGCACAUGAUUCGGUCAUUUCUUUCCUACCGGAUCUUGUUGAUUGCAGUGGAGAGUGCGAGCUUAUUGACGGAAUUUCUGAGAUUGUUAUUUGCCCAGCGAGAAGCCACCCGAUCCACCAAGUCACUCCAUGAAGAAGGAGAAAAAUGAAAUCGACACUUGUUUUGGAAAGCAAUCUAAAUUGCAGUCGAAUAAAAGCGCAGGAGAAGAACAAAUGAUUGUGAGAUUCCUCCACGAGACCACAAAACUGACACAGUCUGGAGCCCGUGAAAUGCCUCAUACUUGCUCAAUCAUAGGUGGAGAGCCGGUUCUGAACUGCAAGCCACAAAGAGAAUUUGCAUCUAGGGAUCGAGAGACUAUUCUAGAUCAAGUGUUGCCAAGGUUUCGGGUGGCUGUGAGCUCCGAGCCACUCAAUUGUAUGACUUAGUGUGAAUACCCCUGAGGGUGAUGGAAUCCAAGUAAUGGUGUCUUCAGCUGCUGAUGGGGAAGGGAUAUUACAAAUUUCAGGGGAAUGCUGAACGAGGUAAUCCGGGAAAUGCCAUUCUCCAUUGCGAAUCAACGUUGCAAGUUUCUGAUUUGGCUGAAUUGGUGAGUUAGAAAUUUCUUCCUUAGUGAAAGAUCUGGAGAGAGGCCCCCUAGAAACCAGUUGUCUUCCCAGAAAAACGUGUUCAAACCAUUCCCAACCUUUGUCUUGAUCAUAGACCUUGCCCCUCUUCUGAAGCUUGAGGAUUUUUGUAAUACCUCUAAUUUUAAGGAUAUUUCUGAUAUUUAAUUUUUAUUUUUAUUUAUUACUUAAUAGCAUUUUAUUUGAUUUUGUGUCA
Cornus florida is the source of this 1246-nucleotide long non-coding RNA. RefSeq lists it as uncharacterized. The transcript is spliced from 2 exons. The record is from RefSeq and is a predicted model, not a curated record. NCBI's taxonomy places the organism in Eukaryota, Viridiplantae, Streptophyta, Magnoliopsida, Cornales, Cornaceae.